Molecule: small nucleolar RNA, 145 nt
Organism: Spea bombifrons (plains spadefoot toad)
Lineage: Eukaryota; Metazoa; Chordata; Amphibia; Anura; Pelobatidae
Source: RefSeq, a predicted model, not a curated record
CUUCGGUGAUGAUACGAUGACGAGUCAGAGAGGGAGCCUGGAGCCGAGCGCUCUGUUCAGCGGCACGUUCUGUGUCUCUGGACUCGGUUGCUCUGCCGGCGCUGCCCUCCGUACUGAUCGAACUUGAGGCAUUUGUCUGAGAAGG